CUAGCCGCCCUAAAAAUCUCCAACCCUACUUCGUCGGCGGCUACACCCAAACAACUCUAAUCUCCCUCAAAUUCACACCUCAUAAUCUCCUCUUCCUCCUCAUAUUAUAUCUCAUUUUAGUUUCUUUCAAAAAACCCCAUAAUUUCGCAAUUUUUAGAUCUUGGAACCGUCAGAAUUUUUCUUUCGAGACUUGGCCUUGUGAAUUCGAAAUCAACAUCAGUUGUUUGCUCUUCAUAAGAGCAAUCAAUUGAUGAUGAGUUCAAUUCCCAUUUUUUCCGUCGAUUGGGUCUUCGAGCGGAAGCUUUUAGGCGCCCGACCCAGGUCAUGUGCACCUGACCCAGAUGAUUUUGAAAAAGAGGAUAAGGGAAAGAAUCAACACGCAAAAGGGCAUCUGACAUUUUCUUUUCGUAUAUAUACCUCUCACAAAUCUGGAUCUAACGGAGAUGUCAGAAUCCAUGGCUUUUUCUCCUUCUUUGUAUCUCACACCUAAGUGUAUUCGUCUGACCGGAUUUUGGUAGAUACAACAUGAUAGUAUAUUCUCAGAUCUAGCCGGAUUUUGUUCGUCUUCAUUUUUAAUUUUAAUACAAUGUAAUGGUAUUUUGCUUGGUCGAAAAUACCAUCUCCUGUGAACUUUUUUCUCUUAUUCGCUAUUGAGUCACAUACAAUGACACAAAUACAUUGUAUUCUGUACAAAUAAAUUUGAGUGUAUUCUGUA
This is a non-coding RNA of Nicotiana tabacum (common tobacco), 715 nucleotides long. Lineage: Eukaryota; Viridiplantae; Streptophyta; Magnoliopsida; Solanales; Solanaceae. The record is from RefSeq and is a predicted model, not a curated record.